Taeniopygia guttata (zebra finch) is the source of this 1791-nucleotide non-coding RNA. The record is from RefSeq and is a predicted model, not a curated record. Lineage: Eukaryota; Metazoa; Chordata; Aves; Passeriformes; Estrildidae.
UCACUUGAAAGCUAGUUUUCAUGCCCAGCACAAUAGCUGAAGUCAGGAUCCAUUUUGCAUGUGCUGUUAAGAGGGUUCAGAGCUGCCUUGUUGUAGGAGGAUGUAAGGGAGCAGGCAAUUACAGCCCACAGGUACAGGUAUCCUCCUACCCUGACAGGCUCCUGCACAAGUAUUUUUCUGUGAUUUUUUUGCUCAUGCAUUUGGGAAUGACUGGAUUUAUAGCAGUUCUCAGGAGAGGCAGGUACUUAGGAUUUGGAGACAUAAGAGCAAAUUCUUCUCUUGAACCCACAUGAUGGAUUGAAGAGGAGAAAUUAGCUGUAUGAAAUAAAGCCAGCUUUGGAUGAACUUGAAAGGAGAGCUGACACCAGCAUGUACAGGCAAAAGCAAGCCAUAUGAGGAAAGAGCUUGGCAAAUAGAGCCAGAACAUUGUCUCCAUUUUUUUACUACUCUUACCUUCUUCGAGUGACUGACCCCAGAAGACCUGAGGUUUCUGUUUCCUAAAGUUUCCAGUUGAAUAUUUGUCCCGUGAGGAAUGUUAGCUAUGGAUUCCUAAUGAGAACAGAGACAAUGUGGCUCUGCCUUCUGCAUCAGCAUUUCCAAGAUCAGACAAGUACAGAGAGGUGUAAUAUUCCUCCCCUCCUUACCUUGCCUUCAGCCAGCAAACUUCUCUUCUGCACUUGAUGAGUAGAGGAAAAAAGAGGAGAUGGAUAUGUAAGUAUGAAAGAAGAGCAAUUUAUUGCUUACCUAGAAAAAUUCCUCAGCAGAUUAGGGCCACUGGAUCUCAAGCAAAACCUGGGUCUGAUGUCUGAAGAUGUUGAACCACAUGGUCAUCUUUGCGUGUGGAGCCUGAGGUUCUGCUGAUGCCCUGAGAACCUGCAUGAGAUGGGAACAUCGUCCAGCACAUUUGCUCCACAAAUAACAGUGUAAUCAACAGUCAAGGGCUCAGCCUCAUCUACCCUUGGCCAUCAGACACUGAUGGCAAGCUCCCAUCCUUACCCAUCCAGUGGGCCAUCUGUCCAGGAACAAUUUACCCUUCAAACCCAACUGCUUAUAGAAAAAGUUCAUGUGGCUCAAGGCCUUUGAAAACCAUGGGGUGGCAAUUUUCUGUACAAAAUGCCAUGCUUAGUGGUGGAAAAUAUUUUGUAGUAAGUUUAUUCACAAUUAUUCCUGUUUAACUGAAAUAGAAAUGUAUAGUCUAUUAUUUUGAUUAUCUAAGUACUGCUGCUGCACUAGGAAAAGCGAUUCGCCCAGCAGCAGGGGGUUCACAAGCUCUUCCCACUACUUUACAUUCUGCUUUGAGCAACAUCCAAACUCAAUUUAACAUUUGGUUUGUUACGAGGUAAUGGUUUUCUUACUCUAAAUCUUAUCUGCCCAGCUGCAAUUUUUAUAUUUUCUUCUGACUGUAUUAGUCACAUAAGAUUGAAGAACAUGAGAAUUUAGUAAAUCUUUCAGAGUUUAAGAUUACAAAGAGUGGAAUUUGUUUCAUCAGUCAACUUUAUUAAUGAUCUGCAGUCUGAACUGGAUUUGAAAUUGAAGGGAAUAGCACUCACUAACAAAAAAAAAAUUAAAUGCACCAUGACAAACAUUUUAUCUAUUAAUGUCUGCUAUUUUUCAGUUACAAUAACGGAAAUUAAUUAAAUGUAAAACAAAGAGUGAAGAAAAAAUAAAGUCUUUCUCUUUAUUUCUCUCCUUUUCCAUUGUUGCUCAAACAAGAUAUUAAGGUAUACAUUGCCAUUAAAAAUUUGGUUUAUGAUCUUUAUUCAAGCAGUACUCCAAUAAAGGCAGAAAAAU